AUUUGAAAUCUGGCGUGCUCAGUGCGUCCGAGUUGUAAUCUAUAGAGUCGUUUUCCGUGCCGGACUGUGUCCAAGUCCCUUGGAACAGGGUAUCAAAGAGGGUGAUAAUCCCGUACUUGACACAAUGACCGGUGCUCUGUGAUACGUCUUCUACGAGUCGAGUUGUUUGGGAAUGCAGCUCAAAAUGGGUGGUGAGUUCCAUCUAAAGCUAAAUAUUGGCGAGAGACCGAUAGCGAACAAGUACCGUGAGGGAAAGAUGAAAAGCACUUUGGAAAGAGAGUUAAACAGUACGUGAAAUUGUUAAAAGGGAAACGAUUGAAGUCAGUCGUGACUGAGAGGCUCAGCCGGUUCUGCCGGUGUAUUCCCCUCAGUCGGGUCAACAUCAGUUUUGUUCGGUGGAUAAGGGCAGUUGGAAGGUGGCACCCUCGGGUGUGUUAUAGCCAGCUGUCGCAUACAUCGGAUGAGACUGAGGAAUGCAGCUCGC
This 484-nucleotide ribosomal RNA is filed under the name Papiliotrema flavescens. RNAcentral describes it as "partial 26S ribosomal RNA". It matches the Rfam family "Eukaryotic large subunit ribosomal RNA", at positions 113 to 603 of the family's 3401-position model. The record is from RNAcentral. Lineage: Eukaryota; Fungi; Basidiomycota; Tremellomycetes; Tremellales; Rhynchogastremaceae.